RNAcentral lists this ribosomal RNA (253 nucleotides) under uncultured bacterium. RNAcentral's name for it is "partial 16S ribosomal RNA". It matches the Rfam family "Bacterial small subunit ribosomal RNA", at positions 524 to 776 of the family's 1533-position model. The record is from RNAcentral.
UACGUAGGUGGCAAGCGUUACUCGGAAUUACUAGGCGUAAAGCGCAGGUAGGUGGUUGGGUAAGUCCGUAAUGAAAUCUCCCGGCUUAACUGGGAGGGGUUUGGGGAUACUGCCUGACUCGAGUGUGGGAGAGGUGACUGGAAUUCCCGGUGUAGCGGUGAAAUGCGUAGAGAUCGGGAGGAACACCUAUGGCGAAAGCAGGUCACUGGCCCAAUACUGACGCUGAGCUGCGAAAGCUAGGGGAGCAAACAGG